UACACAGAAGGGAAAGGAAAGCAGGAAUGUGAAGGAGUAAAAGAGGACAUAAGUGAGAAACGUGGGAGGCCUUCUACAGAGCACAGCUUUCUUGGAUCUUCUGUAUGCUACGGUGGACCAGAUGAGUAUUAUGGCUGUGUCAAAGAAAGAAAUGAACCUAUAAAUAUGAAUAAAAUUGGAGUAAGGAAACUGGAAGAGACAGCAGACCCAUCUAAUCUUGAAUAUGCAACAAGGGGAGAUUGGUGGAAAGGUUCUCUCCACUACUAAAAAAUUAUGGAGCAUCUCAUUUCCAGUUUCUUCCAUAAAGUUCAGGCAGUGUGUACAAUGGUAAAGCUGGACUAAGUACCGACAUCGAUCAGGCGUGGAAUAUGAUAUCCAUAUCAUUAUCUUUCAGUGGGAUGUAAAUAAGCAAAUAAGGAUAACGAAUGAUACUAUAUACGGCUAGGUGUUUCUCCACAUAAAUAAAGUGGAAUCUCAAACAAAAAAAGUCUUUUUCACAUCACCCAUAAUCCUUUUUUUUUUAUGUUACAUGGUAUCUUAACUCUUACCCACAAAAUGCUUUCUCUGUAAACAAGUAUGGUUUAUGUAAAUACUAUGCGCAU
Cryptomeria japonica (Japanese cedar) is the source of this 602-nucleotide long non-coding RNA. RefSeq lists it as uncharacterized. The transcript has 4 exons. The record is from RefSeq and is a predicted model, not a curated record. Lineage: Eukaryota; Viridiplantae; Streptophyta; Pinopsida; Cupressales; Cupressaceae.